GAACGGGUGAGUAACGUGGGGNAUCUGCCCUGCACUUCGGGAUAACCUGGGAAACUGGUAAUACCGGAUAGGACCAUCGUUUAGUGGUGGUGGAAAGUUUUUCGGUGCAGGAUGAGCCCGCGGCCUAUCAGCUUGUUGGUGGGGUAAUGGCCUACCAGGCGGCGACGGGUAGCCGGCCUGAGAGGGUGGACGGCCACAUUGGGACUGAGACACGGCCCAGACUCCUACGGGAGGCAGCAGUGGGGAAUAUUGCACAAUGGGCGCAAGCCUGAUGCAGCGACGCCGCGUGGGGGAUGAAGGCCUUCGGGUUGUAAACUCCUUUCAACCAUGACGAAGGACGGUAGUGGUAGAAGAAGCACCGGCU
This 364-nucleotide ribosomal RNA is filed under the name Corynebacterium variabile. Its description in RNAcentral is "bacterial SSU rRNA". It matches the Rfam family "Bacterial small subunit ribosomal RNA", at positions 100 to 498 of the family's 1533-position model. Lineage: Bacteria; Bacillati; Actinomycetota; Actinomycetes; Mycobacteriales; Corynebacteriaceae. The record is from RNAcentral.